UCUGUUUGUGCAUACUUCCAGUCUGAUGUGCAAAAACCAGACAUCUAAGCUGAAAGUUGCCUUUUCAGAAGGGGAGGAGGGAUCUGGAGAUGAAACCUAAAGGCAAGGCCUCUCUCUCCGGCUGGAUUGCACUUGGCAGGCGUGGACUACAAAGGAGCUCAGGAUGCACUGAUGAACAAACCAGAAAAGACAGCAUAGUCAUACAUGCUGGAUUUUAAUCCGGUUACACCGAAUCAUUUCACGCUAGACCGACUACGAAAACGUACCGGGCCGUCCACCUCAGAGGGAGCCCCGUGAGCCAUUAUAAGCGGUGGAUGAUCGAUCGCGGCUACCGGCUUCCAGUACUGCCUAGAAGCUGAAGAGGAGGUGGAGCGCCGAGGAGACAACGCCACCGGGUCACCGGCGCGUGUGCGCCAGUCUUGGAGUGAAGAGAGACAGAGGGAGAGCGCA
Long non-coding RNA from Rattus rattus (black rat), 450 nucleotides. RefSeq lists it as uncharacterized. The record is from RefSeq and is a predicted model, not a curated record. NCBI's taxonomy places the organism in Eukaryota, Metazoa, Chordata, Mammalia, Rodentia, Muridae. The transcript is spliced from 4 exons.